CCCUAGUAUAAAUGGAAUUUAUUAAAUAAGUAAGUUUUAGGAAAAUUAAUAAUUUUGGCAGUUAUUUUAUUUAUUAGAGGAGCUUGUUUGGGGUGAGAAGUUAUUCUUUAUAUUUUAAUUGUUAAAGGGUUAUUCAUUUCUGUUAUAAGAUGGAUUUGGUUUUAAAAAAUUUAUUUGGUAUUUUAGGUCAAGAUGUACUUUUAAUCAAGAAGAAUUAGCUACAAUUAUGUAAUGAUAAAUGGGGGUAAAGUAAUUUUAAUUAAUGGGUGCUAUUAAAUUUUAUAAUAUGGACAAUGAGUAUCUAAAUUGAAUUUAGUUGUAAUAAUAAUUAGAAAAUAAUUAUGAAGGGUCAUAAUUAAUGAA
RNAcentral lists this ribosomal RNA (363 nucleotides) under Neogonyleptes karschii. Its description in RNAcentral is "partial 12S ribosomal RNA". Lineage: Eukaryota; Metazoa; Arthropoda; Arachnida; Opiliones; Gonyleptidae. The record is from RNAcentral.